This 455-nucleotide ribosomal RNA is filed under the name Burkholderia cenocepacia. RNAcentral describes it as "bacterial SSU rRNA". It matches the Rfam family "Bacterial small subunit ribosomal RNA", at positions 1 to 456 of the family's 1533-position model. Lineage: Bacteria; Pseudomonadati; Pseudomonadota; Betaproteobacteria; Burkholderiales; Burkholderiaceae. The record is from RNAcentral.
AAACUGAAGAGUUUGAUCCUGGCUCAGAUUGAACGCUGGCGGCAUGCCUUACACAUGCAAGUCGAACGGCAGCACGGGUGCUUGCACCUGGUGGCGAGUGGCGAACGGGUGAGUAAUACAUCGGAACAUGUCCUGUAGUGGGGGAUAGCCCGGCGAAAGCCGGAUUAAUACCGCAUACGAUCCAUGGAUGAAAGCGGGGGACCUUCGGGCCUCGCGCUAUAGGGUUGGCCGAUGGCUGAUUAGCUAGUUGGUGGGGUAAAGGCCUACCAAGGCGACGAUCAGUAGCUGGUCUGAGAGGACGACCAGCCACACUGGGACUGAGACACGGCCCAGACUCCUACGGGAGGCAGCAGUGGGGAAUUUUGGACAAUGGGCGAAAGCCUGAUCCAGCAAUGCCGCGUGUGUGAAGAAGGCCUUCGGGUUGUAAAGCACUUUUGUCCGGAAAGAAAUCCUUG